UAUAGGAUGCCUGAAAAAAGGAUAAUUUUGAUAAAAUUAAUCAUGUGCAAGCCGUACUCCUAUAA
RNAcentral lists this transfer RNA (65 nucleotides) under Smaragdina reyi. RNAcentral describes it as "tRNA-Ile". The record is from RNAcentral. Lineage: Eukaryota; Metazoa; Arthropoda; Insecta; Coleoptera; Chrysomelidae.